UAUUGUAAAUCUUUAUAGAUAUUCAUUAACAAUUUUUUAUGGUAAAUGUUAUUACAAAUUCUUUUACAACUUGUUCUUCUAGAAAGAAAUACAUUCCUCAUUGAUUUUUCUAGGAUUGAAAAGAAAAUAAAUCAACUGUGCUUGCUUCUCAUUUAUUCAACAUGUUUAGUCUCCAAACAAUCCAAAGACUACUCUAUAUUGUAGAAUUGUGAGAAACAAAUUAAAGCGAAAUUAAUAAAAGUCAUUGUGAUAUUUGUCUACCAUAAAUUAGUAGUAAUAACAGUAAUUGUUUCAUAAAACAUGCAAUACUGUUUACAUAAAAGAUUAUGCAGCAGGAGCAAGCUUAUGCAUAAUCUUCUAUGCGUCAUCAAGAGACCCUUCUUUUCACAAUUACGUGUUAUUCACUGUUUACUGCAACAUAGCCUUAACAAACCAUUACCAAUCCAUUAAUGAUAUUUGAGGCAAAGCUUCACUACUCCUAUAACAUGCCUUUCAACCCUUGCCAUAAGCCCAUACAGAGCUAAUUUCUGCAAUUGAAUCAGCCCCAUGACAACGUAAAAAAGCGGCACAAAACUUUAAAAAGUCCUUUAAAUAGUAAAGUAACAUCCUGACCAACUCCCUUGCUGCAUUAUUUUACAGAUAUGAGAUGUGAUAUUUUGUCUUCAUUCCAAAAUUACUCCAAGAACACCAAGCUACCUGUAGCAGAGCGAGAAGACAAUUUCAAAAAAAAAA
RNAcentral lists this long non-coding RNA (732 nucleotides) under Medicago truncatula (barrel medic). RNAcentral's name for it is "long non-coding RNA (MTRU_LNC000307)". The record is from RNAcentral. Lineage: Eukaryota; Viridiplantae; Streptophyta; Magnoliopsida; Fabales; Fabaceae.